Long non-coding RNA from Oreochromis niloticus (Nile tilapia), 585 nucleotides. RefSeq lists it as uncharacterized. The transcript is spliced from 4 exons. The record is from RefSeq and is a predicted model, not a curated record. Lineage: Eukaryota; Metazoa; Chordata; Actinopteri; Cichliformes; Cichlidae.
GCUCAGUCAGAAUCAACAGUUUGCAGGCGAGGAAGAAGAAUAUGAGGUGUUUUCUGGACUAAUAAAGGGACAAGAAAAACGAUGACAUAACAUUCCAGCAAUACUGGUAAGACCAUCUGAUCAAACAACUGUAACUGGGUUUCAUCAGUUUCAACUCAGUCCACUUGAAUGCAUCUCCAAUCACAACGUGACUUCUGUCACUGUAAUUUGAGGGACUAAAAAUAGCUGAAACUUUUCGUUGUUUCCAUGAGAGAGUUGCAGCCCAAUCGCCUGCUGUGAAGUGAUCCUGUUACCCCACUCUGGUGUGUGAUUAGCGGUCUGGACUCCUCACCAGUCCAGCACCCUUAGGCUGUAUGCUAAGCGAAAGGAAGGAGGCCGGGGACUAGUGAGCAUCAGCACUACGGUGCAGGAUGAGGUAGCGAACAUCCACGAAUACAUCGGUAAGAUGCCCCCAACCGACCGCAUGCUGAGGCAGCAGAAACCCAAGAAAGAGGAGGAAGAGGAGGCACUAUCAUGGAAGGACAGGCUCCUGCAUGGCAUGUACCACCAGCAGAUAGAGGAGGUGGCUGGACAAAGCUGGACUGA